GGCUCAGGACGAACGCUGGCGGCGUGCUUAACACAUGCAAGUCGAACGGGAAACCAUUUAUUGAAGCUUCGGCAGAUUUAGCUGGUUUCUAGUGGCGGACGGGUGAGUAACGCGUGGGUAACCUGCCUUAUACAGGGGGAUAACAGUCAGAAAUGACUGCUAAUACCGCAUAAGCGCACAGGACCGCAUGGUCCGGUGUGAAAAACUCCGGUGGUAUAAGAUGGACCCGCGUUGGAUUAGCUUGUUGGUGGGGUAACGGCUCACCAAGGCGACGAUCCAUAGCCGGCCUGAGAGGGUGAACGGCCACAUUGGGACUGAGACACGGCCCAGACUCCUACGGGAGGCAGCAGUAGG
RNAcentral lists this ribosomal RNA (354 nucleotides) under uncultured Ruminococcus sp. Its description in RNAcentral is "bacterial SSU rRNA". It matches the Rfam family "Bacterial small subunit ribosomal RNA", at positions 21 to 358 of the family's 1533-position model. The record is from RNAcentral. Lineage: Bacteria; Bacillati; Bacillota; Clostridia; Eubacteriales; Oscillospiraceae.